CGGAGGUUCGAUCCUUCCGUCCCAG
RNAcentral lists this transfer RNA (25 nucleotides) under Oxalis oregana. RNAcentral's name for it is "partial tRNA-Gln". The record is from RNAcentral. Lineage: Eukaryota; Viridiplantae; Streptophyta; Magnoliopsida; Oxalidales; Oxalidaceae.